Molecule: ribosomal RNA, 253 nt
Filed under: uncultured bacterium
Lineage: Bacteria
Description: partial 16S ribosomal RNA
Rfam family: Bacterial small subunit ribosomal RNA
Source: RNAcentral
UACGUAGGUGGCAAGCGUUGUCCGGAUUUACUGGGCGUAAAGGGCAGGCAGGCGGAUCGUUAAGUAGAAAGUGAAAGGUCGGGGCUCAACCCCAACAUUGCUUUCUAUACUGGCGGUCUUGAGUCCCGGAGGGGAGAGCGGAACGACACGUGUAGCGGUGAAAUGCGUUGAUAUGUGUCGGAACACCAAUGGCGAAGGCAGCUCUCUGGACGGGUACUGACGCUCAUCUGCGAAAGCCGAGGUAGCGAACAGG